Molecule: ribosomal RNA, 93 nt
Filed under: Hazenella coriacea
Lineage: Bacteria; Bacillati; Bacillota; Bacilli; Caryophanales; Thermoactinomycetaceae
Source: RNAcentral
CCACUCGUUCCCAUCCCGAACACGACCGUUAAGCCCUCCAGCGCCGAUGGUACUUGGGGUGCAGACCCCUGGGAGAGUAGGACGUUGCCAGGC